Molecule: long non-coding RNA, 1386 nt
Organism: Dendrobium catenatum
Lineage: Eukaryota; Viridiplantae; Streptophyta; Magnoliopsida; Asparagales; Orchidaceae
Exons: 3
Source: RefSeq, a predicted model, not a curated record
UAAAAUAGUUAUUCUUCUUAAUUUUUAUAUGGUUUCUUAGUUGUAAUUCAUUGUUGGAGUGAAGUAAAGAGAAGAUAAAUAUUUUCUACCUUCUUAAACUGAUUUUACUUAAUCCAUAAGCAUUCCAUGAAUUAUACAUUUUUUGAAUGCUUAGGAGUGGCCGGCCACUGUUUGGAUGGUUUUACAGUUGUUCAAACUAUUCUUAUGUUAUGGAUACCACUUUCAUUUACAUUAAACCAUUAAGAAAAAUGAACAACUUCAUUGUAAUAGUUUUUUUACUAUGAAGUCAUACAGACGAUCCAAAAUUUUGUUAUCAAAUUAUGCGGUUAUUGUGAAUGACAUAUUCCUUUGUUGGAUCUAGUUUUUUUUUAUGGGUGACACUUGAAUUUACUACUGGCAGGUGAGUUCUGAGGGUUAUGAUCUGAGAACUUUUGUGAGAAUAGAUAGAAAGGGGGAAACUCUAUGGAAAAGAUCUAUUAGCUCAAUUGUCUGUAGAGAAUGUCAAAAAGAUCCAAAAUGUUCCUUUUUGUCAUUUAUUCAUAGGGAUCCAAGGGCUAUAGAAAAUGCUAUAUAUAUUAAAUAAUAAUAAUAAUACAACAAUUAAUGACCCUUAGUAUUGAUUUUAUUCUUCUUGCAUAGCUACAAUCUAAAAUUCAUUAGCUAAGAUCUCAUUUACACCGAUGGGUUCAACCAUGGAAUAAAGAUGAUGUAAUUUAUCUCUUAUUUAAGGCUAUGUCUUGUUUUUAACUCCUGCUGAAGGAUCUCUUAUAAUCAGGUUUCCAUGGUGACUAGAUGCAUACUUUCAAUCUCUUGGUGAUGAACUUGGUAAUGAUUGUUUCAUCGUUAUUUGGUUUGUCUUCUAGGUUUAAAUUUUUUAUACUAAGUAUAAGAUCUUCCUUUUCUACGUCUUUGGGAAGAACAACACUAUCAUAUUCAUGAGUUGACUCUUCUACUAUCAUAUCAAAUGUCACAUGUGUUGGCUCUUCAACCACAAGUAUUCUCUUAUUAAAUAUUCUGUAAGUUCUCUAACAAAGGUAUACCUAGAAUUAUCGCCUCAUCAUAUUUUGCAUCAAACUUUUUCAUACUUAUUUUUAUAUUAAUUAACAUAAAAUCCUUACACCUAAAAAUAUAUUAAUGUGUUAGGUUAGGUGUUCUACCUUAAAAUAGCUCAGAAGGGCUCUUAUUCAGCUUAGGUCUUAUAUGUACACAAAAGGUUCAGAGAUGUUUGGUCAUGAGCUCAAUAUCUUCAUCAAUAGCUCCAUUCGAAUCAUUCUUGUGUUGAACACGUGGAAAGGAAGAGUUCGUAAGGAUUUUUGGCGGAGCACGUUGUAUUGAGGUGUUGAACACGUGAAAAGAAAGAGUUCGUAAGAAUUUUUGGCGGAGCAU